CGGCGUGGGGUGUUUGAGUGAGGGGGGUCUACAAUGCAGUCGAACGGUAGCAAGAGAGCUUGCUCUCGGGUGACGAGUGGCGGAUGGGUGAGUAAUGUCUGGGAAACUGCCUGAUGGAGGGGGAUAACUACUGGAAACGGUAGCUAAUACCGCAUAAUGUCGCAAGACCAAAGAGGGGGACUUCGGGCCUCUUGCCAUCAGAUGUGCCCGGAUGGUAUUAGCUAGUAGGUGGGGUAACGGCUCCCUAGGCGACGAUCCCUAGCUGGUUGAGAGGAUGACAGCCACACUGGAACUGAGACACGGUCCAGAUUCCUACGGGAGGCAGCAGUGGUUAAUAUUGCUCAAUGGGCGCAAGUCUGAUGGAGCCAUGCCGCGAGUA
This 379-nucleotide ribosomal RNA is filed under the name Enterobacter kobei. Its description in RNAcentral is "bacterial SSU rRNA". It matches the Rfam family "Bacterial small subunit ribosomal RNA", at positions 27 to 405 of the family's 1533-position model. The record is from RNAcentral. Lineage: Bacteria; Pseudomonadati; Pseudomonadota; Gammaproteobacteria; Enterobacterales; Enterobacteriaceae.